CGGGAGCAAUCCUGGUGGCGAGUGGCGAACGGGUGAGUAAUAUAUCGGAACGUGCCCAGUCGUGGGGGAUAACGCAGCGAAAGCUGUGCUAAUACCGCAUACGAUCUAUGGAUGAAAGCGGGGGACCGUAAGGCCUCGCGCGAUUGGAGCGGCCGAUAUCAGAUUAGCUUGUUGGUGGGGUAAAAGCCCACCAAGGCGACGAUCUGUAGCUGGUCUGAGAGGACGACCAGCCACACUGGAACUGAGACACGGUCCAGACUCCUACGGGAGGCAGCAGUGGGGAAUUUUGGACAAUGGGCGCAAGCCUGAUCCAGCAAUGCCGCGUGCAGGAUGAAGGCCUUCGGGUUGUAAACUGCUUUUGUACGGAACGAAACGGCUCUUUCUAAUAAAGAGGGCUAAUGACGGUACCGUAAGAAUAAGCACCGGCUAACUACGUGCCAGCAGCCGCGGUAAUACGUAGGGUGCGAGCGUUAAUCGGAAUUACUGGGCGUAAAGCGUGCGCAGGCGGUUAUAUAAGACAGAUGUGAAAUCCCCGGGCUCAACCUGGGACCUGCAUUUGCGACUGUAUAGCUAGAGUACGGUAGAGGGGGAUGGAAUUCCGCGUGUAGCAGUGAAAUGCGUAGAUAUGCGGAGGAACACCGAUGGCGAAGGCAAUCCCCUGGACCUGUACUGACGCUCAUGCACGAAAGCGUGGGGAGCAAACAGGAUUAGAUACCCUGGUAGUCCACGCCCUAAACGAUGUCAACUGGUUGUUGGGUCUUCACUGACUCAGUAACGAAGCUAACGCGUGAAGUUGA
RNAcentral lists this ribosomal RNA (797 nucleotides) under uncultured bacterium. RNAcentral describes it as "bacterial SSU rRNA". It matches the Rfam family "Bacterial small subunit ribosomal RNA", at positions 74 to 868 of the family's 1533-position model. The record is from RNAcentral.